GGAUCGAUGAUGACUCCCCUCAAAUGCAUUCCUUGGAAAGCUGAACAAAAUGAGUGAGAACUCUCUACCGUCAGCGUUCUCAUCGAAACUGAGGUCC
This is a small nucleolar RNA of Talpa occidentalis (Iberian mole), 97 nucleotides long. RefSeq annotates it as small nucleolar RNA SNORD116. The transcript has a single exon. The record is from RefSeq and is a predicted model, not a curated record. NCBI's taxonomy places the organism in Eukaryota, Metazoa, Chordata, Mammalia, Eulipotyphla, Talpidae.